This 598-nucleotide ribosomal RNA is filed under the name Pteropus vampyrus (large flying fox). RNAcentral describes it as "partial 16S ribosomal RNA". It matches the Rfam family "Bacterial large subunit ribosomal RNA", at positions 1883 to 2630 of the family's 2925-position model. The record is from RNAcentral. Lineage: Eukaryota; Metazoa; Chordata; Mammalia; Chiroptera; Pteropodidae.
GGGGCGGUACUAUUCGAGACACGAGGACUGCCAAGCCCAGUGAGCAUCUGUUAAACGGCCGCGGUAUCACUGACCGUGUCAAAGGUAGCAUAAUCAUUUGUUCACUCUAAAUAGGGACUUGUAUGAACGGCCACACGAGGGUUUUACUGUCUCUUACUUCCAAUCAGUGAAAUUGUGACUACCCUCCCGUGAAGAGGCGGGAAUAUAUAAAUAAGACGAGAAGACCCUAUGGAGCUUUAAUUAAUUAGCCCAAUAAAUAAACAACCUAUGCCCCUAAGGGAAACAAGAAACUUUUUAAUGGGCUAACAAUUUAGGUUGGGGUGACCUCGGAAUACAAAACAACUUCCGAGAGACAAAAACUUAUACCAACAAGUCAACGGAUAUAGUCAUUUAUUGAUCCAAAAAUUGAUCAACGGAACAAGUUACCCUAGGGAUAACAGCGCAAUCCUAUUUGAGAGUCCAUAUCGAUGAUAGGGUUUACGACCUCGAUGUUGGAUCACGACAUCCCAAUGGUGCAGCCGCUAUUAAUGGUUCGUUUGUUCAACGAUUAAAGUCCUACGUGAUCUAUUUUUAACCCCGGGGGGGAAAAAAAAGGAGG